Molecule: ribosomal RNA, 1041 nt
Filed under: Prosthecobacter algae
Lineage: Bacteria; Pseudomonadati; Verrucomicrobiota; Verrucomicrobiia; Verrucomicrobiales; Verrucomicrobiaceae
Description: bacterial SSU rRNA
Rfam family: Bacterial small subunit ribosomal RNA
Source: RNAcentral
UGUGAGUAGCAAUACAAGCGAUGUUCAGUGGCGAAAGGGUGCGUAACACGUGGAUACAUUCCGGGAAGCGGGGGAUAGCCCAGGGAAACUUGGAUUAAUACCGCAUGUGGUCGAAAGACUAAAGACGGGGAUCGAAAGACCUGUCACUUCCCGAUUGGUCCGCGGCCUAUCAGCUAGUUGGCGGGGUAAAAGCCCACCAAGGCUACGACGGGUAGCUGGUCUUAGAGGACGACCAGCCACACUGGAACUGAGACACGGUCCAGACACCUACGGGUGGCAGCAGUCGAGAAUCUUUCACAAUGGGGGCAACCCUGAUGGAGCGACGCCGCGUGGAGGAUAAGGUCUUCGGAUUGUAAACUCCUGUCAUGCGCGAACAAGGUUGCAGGGAUAAUACCUUUGCAAAUUGAUGGUAGCGCAAGAGGAAGAGACGGCUAACUCUGUGCCAGCAGCCGCGGUAAUACAGAGGUCUCAAGCGUUGUUCGGAAUCACUGGGCGUAAAGGGUGCGUAGGUGGCAUGGUAAGUCAGAUGUGAAAGCCCAGGGCUCAACCUUGGAAUUGCAUCCGAUACUGCUGUGCUAGAGUACUGGAGGGGUGACUAGAAUUCUCGGUGUAGCAGUGAAAUGCGUAGAUAUCGAGAGGAAUACCAAAGGCGUAGGCAGGUCACUGGACAGUUACUGACACUGAGGCACGAAGGCCAGGGGAGCAAACGGGAUUAGAUACCCCGGUAGUCCUGGCAGUAAACGGUGCAUACUUGGUGUGGGAAGAUUCGACCCUUCCUGUGCCGGAGCUAACGCGUUAAGUAUGCCGCCUGGGAAGUACGGUCGCAAGAUUAAAACUCAAAGAAAUUGACGGGGACCCGCACAAGCGGUGGAGUAUGUGGCUUAAUUCGAUGCAACGCGAAGAACCUUACCUGGUCUUGACAUGCACUGUGUCUCCGAUGAAAGUCGGAUAGAGUAGCAAUACUCGCUUUGCACAGGUGCUGCAUGGCUGUCGUCAGCUCUGUCGUGAGAUGUUGGGUUAAGUCCCGCACCAGCCCACCCC